GUAUCUGAAGCCAAAGUGGUCAAGGCGCUGGUUUGUGGAACCAGUCAAAGCGGGUUCAAGCCCCGUCAGAUACC
RNAcentral lists this transfer RNA (74 nucleotides) under Desmonostoc muscorum FACHB-395. RNAcentral's name for it is "Nostoc muscorum FACHB-395 tRNA-His". It matches the Rfam family "tRNA". From Rfam's summary of the family: Transfer RNA (tRNA) molecules are approximately 80 nucleotides in length. Lineage: Bacteria; Bacillati; Cyanobacteriota; Cyanophyceae; Nostocales; Nostocaceae. The record is from RNAcentral.